Triticum dicoccoides is the source of this 1171-nucleotide long non-coding RNA. RefSeq lists it as uncharacterized. The transcript is spliced from 5 exons. Lineage: Eukaryota; Viridiplantae; Streptophyta; Magnoliopsida; Poales; Poaceae. The record is from RefSeq and is a predicted model, not a curated record.
CUAGUUCUUUCCCAAAUCGAACCCUAGAGAGCCCUCCUCCCCCACCGUCGCCGCCGCCGACACUCCCUCUGCCCUCGACCGCGCCCUCCACCACCGACCCCUCUGCCCUCGAAUGCGCCUUCACCAUCGACCCCCUCCGCUGAUCUGUGCGACCUCCACCCAUGUCGAUGACGCCAGUGCGUAGAGGUCAACCUCGCCUCCCUCCACACGCCUUUGGUUUCGCUCCCUUUGGCACCGCCACAAGGACUGGUUGACGGGGCUGGUGCGUCGAGGUCGACACCGGCUUGCUUCCCACCAUGUCUCCCGCCACCCUGACGACGAGCACGGUGUCUGCUCCACACUACCCUAGUACAACAUGGUGCUCAGAUCUGUCAUGGAGGAAACGCGAUGCAGGUGUGAUUUUUCCAUACAAAGAAGCUCUCCUUUUCUGCUUGAUGAAAACUCACAAGAUGCUAUCGCGUUAUCUUCUAUCUUCUCCUUGCUGCACAUUUUCCCUACCUUCCACCGAGUCAGUACUUGGAUCCAAGUCUUUCUUAUUGCUACUUAUUUUUAUUUUGCUACUAAAUUGAUGCAGGUGCUACCAGUGAAAGGAUUGGAGAUUGGUUCUAGUAGUUGUAGGUUCGUUUGGAAUUCAUAAUGCUCAUGAUUUGCAAAGCCUAUCAGCCAGAACACGUUGAUGCAUAGCAUUAAAUGCUUGCCUAAAAGAGUCCACAACUCCUUGCGCUCAAGAAUUAUAUUGUCUGACCUCCUAAGGGUCGUUGAGGAGUUGGCAUAUAAUAGCAGCGACACAAACACUUAAAAAGAAAGUGCUAGUACAUUGGAUAAGAACAUUGGCACAUGUGACUGGGAGCCCAAAAGACUAGUAAUUUCCUGGACGGUGUUCUAUGGAAUCUUCACAUACAUGAAACUAAAAUUUAUAUCAUAGGUUGGAAAUGUUCCUGAAGACGGGUUAAGAUACCUUGUCGUAACCAUAUGCUUUGAGCUCACCUAGAAGACCUUACAAGCUUUACUCUUUGUUCUUGUUCCAUUCUGUACAACUUGGACGCCUUGAAACUGCAAAUACUAAAUUAUGAUGUAGAUCUUCACAUGUAAACAGUGAAUUGCAUAUGUUUGUAACAUUGUAAAUGUUUGAUGAACAGAAUUUAUAAUAUGAAUGUGAAGUACUUGUGCA